RNAcentral lists this long non-coding RNA (8055 nucleotides) under Medicago truncatula (barrel medic). RNAcentral describes it as "long non-coding RNA (MTRU_LNC008882)". Lineage: Eukaryota; Viridiplantae; Streptophyta; Magnoliopsida; Fabales; Fabaceae. The record is from RNAcentral.
AAAAUGGAGUUGGAUAAACGAACCUGUGGGUAUUUCGAAGGAUGAUAUAUUGUCUAAGACUGGAUUACUUGAGCAAAUAAAUACCACAGCUGAUAGAAGUGAUUAUUUGUGGUACUCAUUAAGGUACACAAGCCUCCAAAUUUGAAAGAUAUUUGCUUUGACCGAUGAUUAUGUACUUCUUGAUAACACUUCUCUUGUAUUUUUUAAAGCCUUGAUCUUGCGGAUGAUCCCGGUUCUCAAACUGUCCUGCACAUUGAAUCACUUGGCCAUGCCCUUCAUGCUUUCAUAAACGGCAAGCUUGCUGGUAAACAUUUGUUAGGGUUUUUAUGGUUUUUUGUAUUCUGGAUCUCUCAGAGAGCCUUUGUUUUAUUGAAUCUCAAACAAAACUGUUGAAAAUUAAAAAACUUCCCACAUAGGAGCCUUUGUUUAUAAGUCAUCAAAAGUUUGAGACCACUGGUUCAAACUUUUGGACCAUGGGCCUCUACACUAUAAACAAACUAACCAACUAUGUUCCUACACUCCAAUUGGGUGUGUGCCAUAAUCCAACAAAUACCAAGGUUGAUGUUAAAUCAAGUUGCUCAUGGAAGUUCUUCUAAUAUCAUAUGCUCUUUUAGCAGAUGUCCUAGGAGUGUCCUUUACAAGGAACUAGUCUAGCUAUUUCUUUUUUCCUGUUUCUUUUCCUUUAGCUCAUGUAACAAAAAAAAAAAAGUAACUAUUCUGUGAUAUUAUUGACAACUUUUCAGGGAAUCAAGCAGGAAACAGUGAUAAAUCUAAGCUUAAUGUGGACAUCCCAAUCGCACUAGUUUCCGGAAAGAACAAAAUUGAUCUACUGAGUUUAACAGUUGGACUUCAGGUUCAGCUUUUCUUGUUUUUAGUUUCUAAAUAUGCAUUUGCUCAUUAUAUUCCACCGUGCAUAGACUGGCUUGCUCCUUCAGUGAUUUCUCUCAUUACUAUAUCUAAGCUAAUAUGAACCAUAUACACAUCAGAACUAUGGAGCCUUUUUUGACACAGUGGGAGCAGGGAUCACCGGUCCCGUGAUAUUGAAAGGUUUGAAGAAUGGCAACAACACUCUUGAUCUCUCCUCUCGGAAGUGGACAUAUCAGGUCAAUCUUAAAUUUUUGAUCGAAAACUAUUUAUUAUUCUUUCUUUAUCACUUUAAUGGAAUACAUUGUUAAUGGAGUUAAUUUUUUCGAUACAGAUUGGCCUAAAAGGCGAAGAUUUAGGUCUGUCUAGUGGAAGUUCUGGAGGGUGGAAUUCACAGUCUACUUACCCUAAGAACCAACCAUUGGUUUGGUACAAGGUAGUUUUAUUUUCAAUUUAUUGUUUCCCUUGAUAUAAGUAAGGGAAUUUCAAAUUAAGGAAAUGCCACUAUAUGAAAAAUGUUUUUUUGCUACUAACCAAUGUAAUACAUGUUGCACUAGACAAACUUUGAUGCUCCAUCCGGCAGUAAUCCAGUUGCGAUUGACUUCACGGGGAUGGGAAAAGGUGAGGCUUGGGUAAAUGGACAAAGCAUUGGGCGAUACUGGCCUACAUAUGUCGCUUCAAAUGCCGGUUGCACAGACUCAUGCAACUAUAGAGGACCUUAUACUUCAUCUAAAUGUCGCAAGAACUGUGGAAAACCGUCACAGACAUUGUAAGUGUUGCAAAUUUUCAAUAAAAAAAAGUUUAAACAAAGAAAAUAAUCUUGAUCUAUGAUGUUACUGAGACAAUAAUCGCAUCUUGCAGAUACCAUGUACCACGAUCGUUUUUGAAACCAAACGGCAACACUCUUGUAUUGUUUGAGGAAAAUGGCGGUGAUCCGACCCAAAUAUCUUUUGCUACAAAACAGCUGGAAAGUGUGUGUUCACAUGUAUCUGAUUCUCACCCACCUCAAAUAGACUUGUGGAACCAAGAUACAGAAUCAGGGGGAAAAGUAGGGCCUGCUCUGUUGCUCAGUUGUCCUAAUCAUAAUCAGGUAAUUUCAUCCAUCAAAUUUGCAAGCUAUGGAACACCUUUAGGGACGUGUGGAAACUUCUACCGCGGACGCUGCAGCAGCAAUAAGGCGCUGUCAAUUGUAAAGAAGGUGUUUAUCUGAACUCCUGUUCCCUUACUAAUUUGUUAUGUUUCACAUUGGUUUAGAUUGACUAUGUUGGCCAUGGCUAAUAGUUUACUGAUAUGUGAGUAGGUUGCUUGAGCUGAUCAGAAUAAUAGAAAAUCAACUAACCAAUUAAUUGUAUUUAAACACAAGCAGUAAUAUGUAACUCUAAGCUUGAACAAUAGAAAACACUACAACCACUUUGCAGCCGUAGACAGACACAAUUUGCCGAACUCGGUGAUCAAAUCUUGUUUGUUUUUGUUGGUUUUAAAGAGGUUAGCGGCUGAAACACACUAUGCACAGAAAAGUGGAGAAUUGUGGGUUCAACCCGAGCUCUAACAUAUCAAAUGUUCCCACAUCCUUUUACCAUAUGAGUUGUACUUACGGGACAAUCACUUGUGUUCUUUGUUUCCGUUUAUCAUAUCUGUUGUCUUUUGAACCAGAGUUGUUGUAACAUACUAAAAUCAUCUUAUUAACAGGCCUGCAUUGGAUCAAGAAGUUGUAGUGUUGGAGUAUCAACUGAUACAUUUGGAGACCCUUGUAGAGGAGUACCGAAAAGUUUAGCUGUUGAAGCUACUUGUGCAUAGACAAACAUGUAACAUGUUGCUCUAAGAGCAGUCCUCAAUUGUGUUCAACUCUUAUCUUCAAUUCAUCUUCCCUAUCUAAAUUAGAAUUGUAUUCUAGGAACAUCCCAAUUUUUUAUUUUUCACUUAGAAUAGUGCUGUACCACUUGCAAUAAAAGAACAAAAAUGUGGUCCAUAUGGUGAUCUUUGAUACGUGAUAAAACGGUGUUCUUUUGUUGUUCUAGUAGUGAAAAGGAUGGUAAUGGUCCCAUAUAUACUUGUAAUACAAGUUGCACUCAGUGUGAGGAACCUGAACAGUGAAAAGUGGAAAAUUUGGACUUUUGGAGUAUGAACCAAGUUGGAUUAUUAGUUGGAAAAUGAUGUAUUUGAAAUUUUACUUCUUGUAGAGGAAGGUAACGAGAUAGAGGAGAUUCAAUUAAUCAACAUUAGGCAAAAUUUGUGUUGAGUUCUGUUAAUCAUGUUUCUGUAGAUAUCCUAACAUUUGAAUGAAAAUAUAAUACAUGAUUUAUUUGAAAACUUUAUAUUUUUUUAUUUUAAUCACCUGUAUUAUUUUUUUAAAAAAAUGGUGACUUCUUUAAUAAAUAUAAUAAUAAAGAAUAAUCAAUGUUUAUUUUCUUCAAGUAUUUUACAUGCAUAUAUAUAUAAGUUUUAAUAUACUUUUUUUUAACGUAUCAUAUCUUAAAUUUAAAAAAAAAAUUGUGUAUUUGCGUACCCAUAUUGUAUGCCCAAAUGCCCUUAAUUUGGAAAUGCUAGCAAGUGUCAUAAGGGUACUUGUUUAGAAGUUUAAAGUAAAAGUUUUAUCUUAGAAAUUGUGUAUUCAAUACAUUGAAACAACAAAAAGUAAUUUUUUUCAACAAAAAAUUUAUCAGUUAUUUCUAUUUUUGAAUCUUUAACAAGUGUCUUUAAGGCAAUUGUUUGCAUAACCCUAAUAUUAGUUCUAUGAAGCAGAUUUUUUUUUGUUCAUAAUCAAUAUGUAGAAUUUAUUCUUUUUUUAUUUUUAAAUACAAAGAAAAAGUGUUCUCAAUACUUUUUGUCACAUGAGCUGCAGAAAUUUAACGAUCCAAAUUGAGUCAGUUGGUAAAAAGAUGUUUCAUUUAACAAUCCAAAUUGAUUCAGUUGGUAAAAAGAUGUCUCAUAUGCUAGAAGGGUAUGAAUUCAAUUCUCGCAGCUAUAAUGAAAAAUGGAUGGGUAAUUUAUAAAUACCCCUAGUGAACCCGUCAUCUAAGUUAUCUAAACUUUUUUUUAUAUAAAAUAAAGUAAAAAUAUGCAAUGUAUGUAAAUAAUGUGAUAAUAAAAAAGUAUAAUAAACGUGUUUGAGUUGAUUAAACAAUGUUAAGUUUGUCCUUACGAGCUUAGUUUAGUUGGUAUAGACAAUGCAUCAUAAUAUAUGUAAAAUACGAGGUUCAAACCCCGACCAUCAAAAAAAAAAAAAACAAUGCUAAGUUUGUGGAGAAUGAUAUUGCAGUUCAACCCCCACAUGAAUACAUUUUUAAAGUUGUUUUAUGAUGCAACAAGAAUCCAAUUUGAUAUCCCUAAUGAGGUCAAAAAUCCUAUCUAUUUUUUUUUUUUAAAUUAGAGGUGUUUAUUAUAGUUUUAGAAUAAAUUAAUGCACAUAUUUUUUAAAAAAUUUAAUAAUAAUUAGACUUUAUUUUACAAACUAGUUAGAUAUAUUUAUGUACUUAAAUUAUAAUAAUAAGAUGAAAUAAUUUAGAUGACGAGUUGAGUAAGAAUUUUACCUAAUAUUUAUCAAAUGUUACAAGAACUAAAUAAUAACACCUAUUUUUUAUUUAGUUAUAUUUUUUAAGUGUUACUAAAUCUCAUAUAUAUGUUAUAGUGCCUACCACAUAAGGUAUUUUUUUUUUUUGAAGGAUACCACAUAAGGUAUUUAUUCACUGAAUAUACGUUUAUAAUUCGGACAGAGGGCGUAUUACCUUGUUUCUCCUCAUAGAAUGUACAUUAUAUAUACACGUGUUAUAUUACUCAUGUUCUUCUUCUAAGCAUCAUCACUUACAUUUCACAUCCACGUGACCAAAAAAACACAUGUAACAAAUAAACCAAACCAAACCAAAGUCCAAUCUUUCCUUCCCUAGUGAGUUUCUUUUUCUCUUUUUGGAUCAUUCAUUCUUCUAGAAUAAUUACCAUGAGAGCCACUGAAAUUGUGUUGGUUCUGCUUUGGUUCUUACCAACAAUGUUUUGCACCAAUGUGGAUUAUGAUCAUAGAGCAUUGGUCAUUGAUGGUAAACGUAGAGUCUUGAUUUCUGGUUCUAUUCACUACCCUCGUAGUACUCCACAGGUUUUAUUUUAUGUCUCUCUUUGAUUCUGUUUGUGUGUUGAAUUUAAACAGUGCUGAAUUUGUUGUUGUUUAUAGAUGUGGCCAGACCUUAUUCAGAAAUCUAAAGAUGGAGGACUUGAUGUUAUUGAAACCUAUGUUUUCUGGAACUUACAUGAACCUGUUAAAGGCCAGGUUCUCUUUGCUUCAUUUCUUCUCUUACAUUCUUACCAUUUUCUUUGAGCAUUGCAUUUGUUCAUUGCUUGCAGGAAAAGAAAACAAGUGUCUAUGUUAAGCUGAAUUGCUAAUUGUUGAAAGCAUGACUGAACAAGUUUGGAUUGACUUAUUUGAGUUUAUCUACUGACAUAAUCUCUCCAAGAUAGAUAAUGAAACAUAUUAACUAUAUGAAAACAAUAUGACUCUAAAAUCUUUUGUAAAUAGAAUAAGCACUUAUAUGUUAUAAGCACUUAAUUAAGUAUUUUAUCCAAAUAUGAUCUUGAUCUACUAUAAGCUAAGAAAGUCUAUCUUAAUUCAUUGAAAUGAAAUGGAUUUUUGCAGUAUGAUUUUGAUGGGAGGAAGGAUUUGGUGAAAUUUGUGAAAGCAGUAGCUGAGGCAGGUCUAUAUGUGCAUCUCCGGAUUGGUCCAUAUGUUUGUUCUGAAUGGAACUAUGGGUAAAGUUUGGUAAUUUAUGUGUAUUAUAUUUCGAGGGUGUUCAUGUCUAAUUGAGGGCUUUAACUUCUUGACAGUGGUUUCCCUCUUUGGCUUCACUUCAUUCCAGGGAUUAAGUUCCGAACUGACAAUGAACCAUUUAAGGUAAGUUAACCUUCAGUCCAGUGCUUCAUGCUUUUGUCCUUGGACUGAGUUCACUUGACAGGAAACUUUGUCUUCAGGUUGAAAUGAAGCGAUUCACCACUAAGAUUGUCGACCUCAUGAAGCAAGAGAAACUGUAUGCAUCACAAGGAGGACCUAUAAUUUUAUCUCAGGUUUUUUUAUCAUGAAAUACAAUACAAGUAUAGUUAAUAUAUUCUUGAAGAUAUUAAGGUCAAAGUUUAUAUUUGUUAAUGUGAGAGUGUUUGUGAUUUCUAAUGACAGAUAGAAAAUGAGUAUGGAGACAUCGAUUCAGCCUAUGGUUCUGCUGGUAAAUCAUACAUCAAUUGGGCAGCAAAAAUGGCUACAUCUCUUGAUACAGGUGUACCUUGGGUCAUGUGUCAGCAAGCAGAUGCUCCUGAUCCAAUUGUAAGUUUUAUGUUUUGAUAUGUCAAUGUUAAUUGUUUUUUAGUUUAUGGUUUACUAGGUUGCCUGUCUUCCGGAAAAGAGCAAUCUUGGUAUGCCGUUUGCAUUCAUCUUACUCAAUUUUUACUUGAACUGCAAGUAGAUUAAUACCUGCAAUGGAUUUUACUGCGAUCAAUUCACACCAAACUCUAAAACAAAGCCAAAAUUGUGGACUGAAAAUUGGAGUGCAUGGUUAGCAACUUAGCAUCCUUUUUUAUAUAAAUAAUUUAAUCAAUUUGUUUAUGUUAUUUUCCAAAUCUUACUUGAAUUCUUUGGAAUGGUAGGUAUCUUUUAUUUGGUGGUGGGUUUCCUCACAGACCUGUGGAAGAUCUCGCAUUUGCUGUCGCACGCUUUUUCCAACGAGGUGGAACAUUUCAAAAUUACUAUAUGGUAUUGCAACCUGAAAUGUUCUUCACAAGUUCAGAAUAAUAUGAUAAUAUUACUUCACUGAAAAAUUGGCUCUAAGAGGAAUUAGCUGAUACUGUAUCAUUUUUCAUUGCUUGACUAAAAACAGUACCAUGGAGGAACCAACUUUGACCGAAGUACUGGAGGACCAUUCAUUGCAACAAGUUAUGAUUUUGAUGCACCGAUUGAUGAGUAUGGUAUGACUCCUUCAACCUUCUUAUUGAAAUCUAUUGUUCAUGUUGUAGCCGUCACAAAUACAACACUGGUAAUACAUCGAAGAAGAUAAAUUGAUAAUAUCACAUGGAUAGUUUAUUUCUUAUAUGUAGAAGAGAAAUUACACUGGACGAUUGGAUUUUUUAAUAUCUUCGCUACAUGCUGCAGGAGUUAUUAGGCAGCCGAAGUGGGGUCAUCUUAAAGAUGUGCACAAGGCCAUAAAGCUUUGUGAAGAAGCAUUAAUAGCCGCAGAACCCAAGAUUACUUAUCUUGGUCCAAACCUAGAGGUAUAGAUGGUUUAUAUUGAAAUUUUUGUUCGUUUGAAACAUCUUAUUCCGCGUCUUAGGAUAUAAUUUAUUUUGUAACUAAAACUCAUCUGGUUUGUCAAUAGUGUAAGAUUCUUUCUUUGAAAAAUUCCCGGCAUUAAUAGUCUUUUACUAAUAAAACCGCAGGCGGCCGUUUAUAAGACAGGAUCUGUAUGUGCUGCCUUUCUCGCCAAUGUGGACGCCAAAUCUGAUAAAACCGUAAAUUUCAGUGGCAAUUCAUAUCACUUGCCUGCAUGGUCUGUGAGCAUCUUGCCAGAUUGCAAGAAUGUAGUGCUUAAUACUGCAAAGGUUUGUCUUACCUUCAUUUGUGUUAAGUUGCUUCAAUAACACAAUUAUCUCAAUCAAAAUAGAUAGUUUAAUUGAAUAGAGUUACUAAAAAAGUGUGAUUCAUAUUCAUUUUGUGAAUAUUCUAUCUAUACCAAGGUGUUUUCUCUUAUUUGUUAGUCCAAAGUAAGUAGGAUGUAAUAAAAGUAAAUUUUUUUAUGCCAGAUUAAUUCUGCAUCUACAAUUUCAAACUUCGUAACUGAAUCUUUAAAAGAAGAUAUCAGUUCUUCAGAAACUUCUAGAUCAAAAUGGAGUUGGAUAAACGAACCUGUGGGUAUUUCGAAGGAUGAUAUAUUGUCAAAGACUGGAUUACUUGAGCAAAUAAAUAUCACAGCUGAUAGAAGUGACUACUUGUGGUACUCAUUAAGGUAUACAAGCCUCCAAAUUUGAAAGAUAUUUUCCCUGACUGAUGAUUCUGUACUUCUCGAUAACACUUCUAUUGUAUUCUUUUGAAGCGUUGAUCUUAAGGAUGAUCCUGGUUCUCAAACUGUCCUUCACAUUGAAUCGCUCGGCCAUGCCCUUCAUGCUUUCAUAAACGGCAAGCUUGCAGGUAAUUAUUCACAAGGAUAUGGUUUUUAUAUUUUGAAA